This 458-nucleotide ribosomal RNA is filed under the name uncultured bacterium. RNAcentral's name for it is "partial 16S ribosomal RNA". It matches the Rfam family "Bacterial small subunit ribosomal RNA", at positions 338 to 795 of the family's 1533-position model. The record is from RNAcentral.
CCUACGGGAGGCAGCAGUGAGGAAUAUUGGUCAAUGGGCGAGAGCCUGAACCAGCCAAGUCGCGUGAGGGAGUACUGCCCUAUGGGUUGUAAACCUCUUUUGUCGGGGAGCAAAAGCCGGACGUGUCCGGCUGUGAGAGUACCCGAAGAAAAAGCAUCGGCUAACUACGUGCCAGCAGCCGCGGUAAUACGGAGGAUGCGAGCGUUAUCCGGAUUUAUUGGGUUUAAAGGGUGCGCAGGCGGAUUUUUAAGUCAGCGGUAAAAUCGUGGGGCUCAACCCCAUCCAGCCGUUGAAACUGGGGAUCUAGAGUGUGCGAGAGGUAUGCGGAAUGCGUGGUGUAGCGGUGAAAUGCAUAGAUAUCACGCAGAACCCCGAUUGCGAAGGCAGCAUACCGGUGCACAACUGACGCUCAGGCACGAAAGCGUGGGUAUCGAACAGGAUUAGAUACCCGUGUAGUC